RNAcentral lists this ribosomal RNA (253 nucleotides) under uncultured bacterium. RNAcentral's name for it is "partial 16S ribosomal RNA". It matches the Rfam family "Bacterial small subunit ribosomal RNA", at positions 524 to 776 of the family's 1533-position model. The record is from RNAcentral.
UACGAAGGGGGCUAGCGUUGCUCGGAAUCACUGGGCGUAAAGGGUGCGUAGGCGGUUCUUUAAGUCAGGGGUGAAAUCCUGGAGCUCAACUCCAGAACUGCCUUUGAUACUGAAGAUCUUGAGUUCGGGAGAGGUGAGUGGAACUGCGAGUGUAGAGGUGAAAUUCGUAGAUAUUCGCAAGAACACCAGUGGCGAAGGCGGCUUACUGGUCCGGUUCUGACGCUGAGGCGCGAAAGCGUGGGGAGCAAACAGG